Molecule: ribosomal RNA, 278 nt
Filed under: Escherichia coli
Lineage: Bacteria; Pseudomonadati; Pseudomonadota; Gammaproteobacteria; Enterobacterales; Enterobacteriaceae
Description: partial 23S ribosomal RNA
Rfam family: Bacterial large subunit ribosomal RNA
Source: RNAcentral
GGGUUGUGAGGUUAAGCGACUAAGCGUACACGGUGGAUGCCCUGGCAGUCAGAGGCGAUGAAGGACGUGCUAAUCUGCGAUAAGCGUCGGUAAGGUGAUAUGAACCGUUAUAACCGGCGAUUUCCGAAUGGGGAAACCCAGUGUGAUUCGUCACACUAUCAUUAACUGAAUCCAUAGGUUAAUGAGGCGAACCGGGGGAACUGAAACAUCUAAGUACCCCGAGGAAAAGAAAUCAACCGAGAUUCCCCCAGUAGCGGCGAGCGAACGGGGAGGAGCCC